UACGUAGGGGGCGAGCGUUGUCCGGAUUUACUGGGCGUAAAGGGUGAGUAGGCGGUUAUAUAUGUCAGGUGUAAAAAGCUAUGGCUUAACCAUAGUAAGCACUUGAAACUGUAUGACUUGAGUGCAGGAGAGGUAAGCGGAAUUCCUAGUGUAGCGGUGAAAUGCGUAGAUAUUAGGAGGAACGCCGGUGGCGAAGGCGGCUUACUGGGCUGUAACUGACGCUGAGUCACGAAAGCGUGGGUAGCAAACA
RNAcentral lists this ribosomal RNA (250 nucleotides) under uncultured archaeon. RNAcentral's name for it is "partial 16S ribosomal RNA". It matches the Rfam family "Bacterial small subunit ribosomal RNA", at positions 524 to 774 of the family's 1533-position model. The record is from RNAcentral.